UAUUUUGGAAGAGAUGCAUUUAUUAGAUAAAAAACCAAUACAUACUUUUUCAAGUAUGAAAUUUGGUGAUUUACAAUAACUUAGCAAAUCGCAUAGUGAAAACAGGCGAUAAAUCAUUCAAGUUUCUGACCUAUCAGCUUUCGACGGUAUGGUAUUGGCUUACCGUGGCAGUGACGGUUAACGGGGGAUUAGGGUUCGAUUCCGGAGAGGGAGCCUGAGAAACGGCUACCACAUCUAAGGAAGGCAGCAGGCGCGCAAAUUACCCAAUUCUAACAGCAUAAGAGAGGCAGUGACAAGAAAUAACAAUACAAGGCAGUUAAAAUGCUUUGUAAUUGGAAUGAUAGAAAUUUAAACACUUUUUAAAGUAUCAAUUGGAGGGCAAGUCUGGUGCCAGCAGCCGCGGUAAUUCCAGCUCCAAUAGCGUAUAUUAAAAUUGUUGCAGUUAAAAAGCUCGUAGUUGAAUUUCUGUUAAAAAUAACCGGUCUGCUUUUAAUAAAAGUGGUAUCUUGGUGUGUUUUUAGCAAUAAUGUCCUUUGAAAUGUUUUUUACUUUAUUGUAAUAAAUAAUAUUCAGGAUUUUUACUUUGAGAAAAUUAGAGUGUUUCUAGCAGGCUAACGCUUUGAAUACUGCAGCAUGGAAUAAUAAAAUAGGAUUUUAGUUCUACAUUAUUGGUUUUAAGAACUAAAUUAAUGAUUGAUAGGGACAGUUGGGGGCAUUUGUAUUUAACUGUCAGAGGUGAAAUUCUUAGAUUUGUUAAAGACAAACUACUGCGAAAGCAUUUGCCAAAGAUGUUUUCAUUAAUCAAGUAC
This 809-nucleotide ribosomal RNA is filed under the name Hepatozoon felis. Its description in RNAcentral is "bacterial SSU rRNA". It matches the Rfam family "Eukaryotic small subunit ribosomal RNA", at positions 188 to 984 of the family's 1831-position model. Lineage: Eukaryota; Apicomplexa; Hepatozoidae. The record is from RNAcentral.